UACGUAGGCAGCAAGCGUUGUUCGGAGUUACUGGGCGUAAAGGGUGCGUAGGCGGUCCUGUAAGUAUGGUGUGAAAUCUCCCGGCUUAACUGGGAGGGUGCGCUAUAGACUGCGGGACUAGAGGGUCGGAGAGGAAAGUGGAAUUCCUGGUGUAGCGGUGAAAUGCGUAGAUAUCAAGAGGAACACCUGAGGUGAAGACGGGUUGCUGGGCUGACACUGACGCUGAGGCGCGAAAGCCAGGGGAGCAAACGGG
This 253-nucleotide ribosomal RNA is filed under the name uncultured prokaryote. RNAcentral describes it as "partial 16S ribosomal RNA". It matches the Rfam family "Bacterial small subunit ribosomal RNA", at positions 524 to 776 of the family's 1533-position model. The record is from RNAcentral.